This 300-nucleotide ribosomal RNA is filed under the name uncultured bacterium. RNAcentral describes it as "bacterial SSU rRNA". It matches the Rfam family "Bacterial small subunit ribosomal RNA", at positions 29 to 324 of the family's 1533-position model. The record is from RNAcentral.
AUUGAACGCUGGCGGCAUGCUUUACACAUGCAAGUCGAACGGCAGCACGGGGGCAACCCUGGUGGCGAGUGGCGAACGGGUGAGUAACACAUCGGAACGUGCCCAGUUGUGGGGGAUAACCUAUCGAAAGGUAGGCUAAUACCGCAUGAGCUCGGCAAGAAGGAAAGGCGGGGGACUCAGCGAUGGGCCUCGCGCGACUGGAGCGGCCGAUGUCCGAUUAGCUAGUGGUGGGGUAAGGCUUACCAAGGCGACGAUCGGUAGCUGGUCUGAGAGGAUGAUCAGCCACACGUGGGACUGAGA